Molecule: ribosomal RNA, 468 nt
Filed under: uncultured bacterium
Lineage: Bacteria
Description: partial 16S ribosomal RNA
Rfam family: Bacterial small subunit ribosomal RNA
Source: RNAcentral
GACGAACGCUGGCGGCGUGCUUAACACAUGCAAGUCGAACGGAAAGGCUCUGCUUUUGUGGGGUGCUCGAGUGGCGAACGGGUGAGUAACACGUGAGUAACCUGCCCUUGACUUUGGGAUAACUUCAGGAAACUGGGGCUAAUACCGGAUAGGAGCUCCUGCUGCAUGGUGGGGGCUGGAAAGUUUCGGCGGUUGGGGAUGGACUCGCGGCUUAUCAGCUUGUUGGUGGGGUAGUGGCUUACCAAGGCUUUGACGGGUAGCCGGCCUGAGAGGGUGACCGGCCACAUUGGGACUGAGAUACGGCCCAGACUCCUACGGGAGGCAGCAGUGGGGAAUAUUGCACAAUGGGCGGAAGCCUGAUGCAGCAACGCCGCGUGCGGGAUGACGGCCUUCGGGUUGUAAACCGCUUUCGCCUGUGACGAAGCGUGAGUGACGGUAAUGGGUAAAGAAGCACCGGCUAACUACGUG